AUCUCAGAUUAAGUAAGGGUACCCGCUGAAUUUAAGCAUAUAAUUAAGCGGAGGAAAAGAAACUAACCAGGAUUCCCUCAGUAAGGGCGACUGAAGCGGGAAUAGCUCGAACCGAAGAAUUGUGGUGUGUUUGCGUUACUUGCUCGGCCAAAGUCCCUUGGAACAGGGCAGCGUAGAGGGUGAGACUCCCGUUUGGCUGUGCUUUUGAGCUUACAUGAUGGAGUCGAGUUGUUUGGGAUUGCAGCUCAAAGUGGGUGGUAAAUUCCAUCGAAAGCUAAAUAUUGGUGGGAGACCGAUAGCGUACAAGUACCGUGAGGGAAAGAUGCAAAGAACUUUGAAAAGAGAGUUAAAGAGUACCUGAAAUUGCUGAAAUGGAAGCGAAGGAAACCAGUGUCGUGCUUGUCAUAUUUCUGUCAUUGCUUGCGAUGGCGGCGCUGUGGCUGCACUGGUCAGGGUUGGUUCUGAAUCGGUAGAAGUUUCUGCUGUUUGGGACUGAGUUCUGUCGAAAUGGUUUUCUUUACCCCGUCUUGUAACACGGACCAAGGAGUCUAACAUAUGUGCGAGUACAGGGGUGUCAAACCCCGGUGCGUAAUGAAAGUGACAGUGGUUGUAUUUUUUCCCAAUCCGCCGGCCUCAAUCCCUCGGGAGAACGGUCUGAGUGUGAGCAUACAUGUUGGGACCCGAAAGAUGGUGAACUAUGCCUGAAUAGGGUAAAGCCAGGGGAAACUCUGGUGGAGGCUCGUAGCGAUUCUGACGUGCAAAUCGAUCGUCAAAUUUGGGUAUAGGGGCGAAAGACUAAUCGAACCAUCUAGUAGCUGGUUCCCUCCGAAAUUUCCCUCAGGAUAGCUGCGAUCAAUUGUAUCAAUUUUAUCAGGUAAAGCGAAUGAUUAGAGGUUCCGGGAGCGGAAUGCUCUCGGCCUAUUCUCAAACUUUAAAUGGGUAAGAACUCGGGGUUGCUUAAUUGAACCCUGCGGUUGAAUGUUGGUCGCUAGUGGGCCGCACCGGGUAAGCUGGUUCGGCGAUGCGGGAUGAUCCGAACGUGGAGAUAAAGUGCCAAAGUGCUCGCUCACCUAGAUCCCACAAAAGGUGUUGGUUCAUAUAGACAGCAGGACGGUGGCCAUGGAAGUCGGAAUCCGCUAAGGAGUGUGUAACAACUCCCCUGCCGAAUGAACUAGCCCUGA
This 1181-nucleotide ribosomal RNA is filed under the name Synedropsis cf. recta. RNAcentral describes it as "partial Eukaryotic large subunit ribosomal RNA". It matches the Rfam family "Eukaryotic large subunit ribosomal RNA", at positions 1 to 1315 of the family's 3401-position model. The record is from RNAcentral. Lineage: Eukaryota; Bacillariophyta; Fragilariophyceae; Fragilariales; Fragilariaceae.